Molecule: transfer RNA, 75 nt
Filed under: Rhodospirillaceae bacterium
Lineage: Bacteria; Pseudomonadati; Pseudomonadota; Alphaproteobacteria; Rhodospirillales; Rhodospirillaceae
Description: tRNA-Val
Rfam family: tRNA
About the family: Transfer RNA (tRNA) molecules are approximately 80 nucleotides in length. Their secondary structure includes four short double-helical elements and three loops (D, anti-codon, and T loops).
Source: RNAcentral
AGGCGUGUAGCUCAGUGGCAGAGCGCUGUCUUUACAUGGCAGAGGUCGGGGGUUCGAUCCCUUCUGCGCCUACCA